CCUACGGGAGGCAGCAGUGGGGAAUAUUGCACAAUGGGGGAAACCCUGAUGCAGCGACGCCGCGUGAGUGAAGAAGUAAUUCGUUAUGUAAAGCUCUAUCAGCAGGGAAGAAAAUGACGGUACCUGAGUAAGAAGCCCCGGCUAACUACGUGCCAGCAGCCGCGGUAAUACGUAGGGGGCAAGCGUUAUCCGGAUUUACUGGGUGUAAAGGGAGCGUAGACGGCAGUGCAAGUCUGGAGUGAAAGGCGGGGGCUCAACCCCCGGACUGCUCUGGAAACUGUACGGCUGGAGUGCAGGAGAGGUGAGUGGAAUUCCUAGUGUAGCGGUGAAAUGCGUAGAGAUUAGGAGGAACACCAGUGGCGAAGGCGGCUUACUGGACUGUAACUGACGUUGAGGCUCGAAAGCGUGGGUAGCAAACAGGAUUAGAUACCCGUGUAGUC
RNAcentral lists this ribosomal RNA (440 nucleotides) under uncultured bacterium. Its description in RNAcentral is "partial 16S ribosomal RNA". It matches the Rfam family "Bacterial small subunit ribosomal RNA", at positions 338 to 795 of the family's 1533-position model. The record is from RNAcentral.